AACACGCUCCUUAGAUCCACCUCUGGAGGACCUGGUCCUCAGCAGCUUCUUGCUGUACUGUCGGAGGUGCUUGAGUCAUUGGCGUGUGACAGCAGUCUACCUGCCCCCCCAGCCCAGCUGCAGCGCCGGCCGCCCGGUCCUCUGGGACUGGGAGCUCCCGGCGCUGCCAGUCUGGGGGGCGGACAUC
Small nucleolar RNA from Cyprinodon variegatus (sheepshead minnow), 187 nucleotides. Lineage: Eukaryota; Metazoa; Chordata; Actinopteri; Cyprinodontiformes; Cyprinodontidae. The record is from Ensembl.